GAAAUGCGAUAAGUAAUGUGAAUUGCAGAAUUCCGUGAAUCAUCGAAUCUUUGAACGCACAUUGCGCCCUCUGGUAUUCCGGGGGGCAUGCCUGUCCGAGCGUCAUUGCGAACCCCUCAAGCACGGCUUGUGUGAUGGGCCCUCCCGCGUCUUGGUCGUCAAGACGGGCCCGAAAUGCAGUGGCGGCUUCGCGGUUAUCCGAUCAGCCAGAGCGUAUGGGGACUCUCUCUCUCUUGUCACACGCCCGCGGCGCGGACCGACGCCUGUCGACCUUUAUUCAUCUUCUCUCGGUUGACCUCGGAUCAGGUAGGGAUACCCGCUGAACUUAAGC
RNAcentral lists this unclassified non-coding RNA (331 nucleotides) under plant metagenome. Its description in RNAcentral is "partial contains 5.8S ribosomal RNA, internal transcribed spacer 2, and large subunit ribosomal RNA". The stretch from base 1 to 105 matches the Rfam family "5.8S ribosomal RNA", at positions 50 to 154 of the family's 154-position model. The record is from RNAcentral.